GAGCAGAUCGUUGGGGAAACGAAGUUGGAAAUCAUCCCUGAGUUGAGUUUCAGAGUAUUGAUCAGGAAAUCCUACGGGGGUCAGGUUAGGAUGUUUUAGGGGCUUUCUCAGUAGUCAGGAACAGAUCGGUCACUUCAAGCAAAGAGCUGGCGAGAAAUUUCAUGAAAGCUGGGAGCAA
This is a long non-coding RNA of Malania oleifera, 178 nucleotides long. RefSeq lists it as uncharacterized. NCBI's taxonomy places the organism in Eukaryota, Viridiplantae, Streptophyta, Magnoliopsida, Santalales, Ximeniaceae. The record is from RefSeq and is a predicted model, not a curated record. The transcript has 3 exons.